This 899-nucleotide ribosomal RNA is filed under the name uncultured archaeon. RNAcentral describes it as "bacterial SSU rRNA". It matches the Rfam family "Archaeal small subunit ribosomal RNA", at positions 1 to 878 of the family's 1478-position model. The record is from RNAcentral.
CUCCGGUUGAUCCUGCCGGACCCGACUGCUAUCGGAUUGAGAUUUAGCCAUGCGAGUCGAACGUUCCCCUGUUGCGGGGAGCGUGGCGUACGGCUCAGUAACACGUAGUCAACCUGCCCUGGAGACAAGGACAACCCCGGGAAACUGGGAUUAAUCCUUGAUAGGUCAUCUCAUCUGGAAGGAGAGAUGGCUUAAAGGGGUACGCGGGCUUCUUCCGCGAAUUCGCUCCAGGAUGGGACUGCGUUCGAUCAGGCUGUUGGCGGGGUAAUGGCCCACCAAACCUGUAACCGGUACGGGCCUUGAGAGAGGUGGCCCGGAGAUGGACACUGAGAGAAGGGUCCAGGUCCUACGGGGCGCAGCAGGCGCGAAACCUUCGCAAUGCGCGAAAGCGUGACGAGGUUAAUCCGAGUGACUCCCGCUGAGGGGGUCUUUUGUCAGCUGUAAAUAGGCAGGCGAAUAAGGGGAGGGCAAGCCUGGUGUCAGCCGCCGCGGUAAUACCAGCUCCUCGAGUGGUCGGGGCGAUUAUUGGGCCUAAAGCAUCCGUAGCCGGUUCCGUAGGUCCUCUGCUAAAUCCAACCGCUCAACGGUUGACCUGCAGAGGAUACCGCGGGACUAGGAGGCGGGAGAGGCGGACGGUACUCCGCGUGUAGGGGUAAAAUCCUUUGAUCCGCGGAAGACCACCAGUGGCGAAGGCGGUCCGCCAGAACGCGCUCGACGGUGAGGGAUGAAAGCUGGGGGAGCGAACCGGAUUAGAUACCCGGGUAGUCCCAGCCGUAAACGAUGCUAGCUAGAUGAUUCAUUCGCAAGUCGCGAAUGAAGUGUCGCAGGGAAGCCGUUAAGCUAGCCGCCUGGGGAGUACGGUCGCAAGACUGAAACUUAAAGGAAUUGGCGGGGGAGCA